CUGGCUCAGAUUGAACGCUGGCGGCAGGCCUAACACAUGCAAGUCGAGCGGAUGACGGGAGCUUGCUCCUUGAUUCAGCGGCGGACGGGUGAGUAAUGCCUAGGAAUCUGCCUGGUAGUGGGGGACAACGUUUCGAAAGGAACGCUAAUACCGCAUACGUCCUACGGGAGAAAGCAGGGGACCUUCGGGCCUUGCGCUAUCAGAUGAGCCUAGGUCGGAUUAGCUAGUUGGUGGGGUAAUGGCUCACCAAGGCGACGAUCCGUAACUGGUCUGAGAGGAUGAUCAGUCACACUGGAACUGAGACACGGUCCAGACUCCUACGGGAGGCAGCAGUGGGGAAUAUUGGACAAUGGGCGAAAGCCUGAUCCAGCCAUGCCGCGUGUGUGAAGAAGGUCUUCGGAUUGUAAAGCACUUUAAGUUGGGAGGAAGGGC
This 432-nucleotide ribosomal RNA is filed under the name Pseudomonas sp. AE_69. RNAcentral's name for it is "bacterial SSU rRNA". It matches the Rfam family "Bacterial small subunit ribosomal RNA", at positions 19 to 453 of the family's 1533-position model. The record is from RNAcentral. Lineage: Bacteria; Pseudomonadati; Pseudomonadota; Gammaproteobacteria; Pseudomonadales; Pseudomonadaceae.